AUGUGUAAAUGUAUCAGUACCAGUAAACUAAAAUCUAUCAUUUGUCUGUAUAUAGGUACAAAUACGGGAUUCUGCGGUCUGCUAACUGCCCAGAAGGACCCAGUUCCUCUGAAGAGCUUUGAGGUGGAGCUGGAGGUGAGGGACCAUGUGGCUACAGUGGUCUCCACUCUGAACUACGAGAACAAGGAGGACAAACCAUUAGAGGCUGUUUUUGUCUUCCCUCUGCCUGGAGAUGCUGCUGUCUGUCAUUUCAGUGCUCAGGUUGGACAGACACAGAUUGUAGCUGAGCUGAAGGAGAAACAGGAGGCUCGUCAGGAGUAUGAUGAUGCUCUGAGCUCCGGUCAGCAGGCCUUCCUAUUGGAGGAGAGUGAUGAGAGUCCAGAUGUUAUAUUCUCUCUGCAUGUGGGCAGUCUGCCUCCAGGAGAGAGCGCCUCCAUCAGGUUGGAGUACGUCACUGAGCUGGCUGUGCAGGCUGAUGAUGGUCUGAGGUUCUGUCUGCCUGCUGUGCUCAACCCUCCAACUUCAGAAUACUUGGACCAGAAACGCUUCAACUAUAUCAGUGAAAGUAGUGAAGGUGCAGGUGUCCAGGUGACUUCUGUUCCAGCCUCUCUGGUGCCCUACAGUCUGUCUUUUUCUGCCCGAGUCUCCUCUCCUCGUCCAGUCUCUAAAGUAGAGUCCAACUGUUCCCUGGACCCUCUGCAGUACCUCAACACUGAUCAAACCCAGGCCACGGUCAAGCUGGCUGCAGGACACAAGUUUGACAGAGAUGUUGAACUGCUGAUUUAUUACAAAGACGCCCACCAGCCCACUGCUGUGGUGGAGGCAGGACAGGCCUCUGCUGAGCCGGGCUCUCUGAUGGGUGAUCCAGUGGUGAUGGUGAGUCUGUACCCUGAGUUCCCCCAGUCUGUGAUGUCUUCAAUGGCUUCAUGUGGAGAGUUUGUGUUCUUAGUGGAUCGAUCGGGAAGUAUGGACUGUCCUACGAAUGACACUGAGCAGCAGGAAACUCGGAUCAGCAGUGCCAGGGAUACUCUGCUGCUCCUGUUGAAUAGCUUACCAAUGGGCUGCUAUUUCAACAUUUACAGUUUUGGGUCUAGUUAUGAACAAAUCUUCCCUAAGAGUGUAGAGUAUGGUGAGAAGACCAUGGAGGAGGCUCUGAAGAAAGUUGAGCAGAUGGAGGCUGAUCAUGGAGGAACAGAGAUCCUGGAGCCCCUCAAACAUAUUUACAGCCAACCCUGCAUUCAAAAUCAGCCUAGACAGUUGACCAUGAACCAAGCCCUCUCUUCUCUCAUCAACGGGAUGGCCAAGGAAGGAGGAGGUCACGCUCAGUUCAUCACAGGGACUGACAGGAUGCAACCAAAAGUGAUGCAGUCGCUGCAUUUUUCUCUGCAACCAGCAGUGGAAGAUGUUUCUGUUACAUGGGAUUUACCAAAGGGAUCCACUAUCACUGUCCUCUCUCCACCAAUCACAUCAUUUUUCCAGGGUCAAAGGUCACUAAUUUAUGCCCAGCUCACUGGACAGAGCUCAGAGGCAGCAGAGGGCUGUGUGACGCUGAAGUACAGCCUGGCAGGUCAUCGCUCUGAGAAUCAGCUGCACUUCAGUCUCUGCAGAGGACUCUGGCUUAAUAGUCCACAGGUUAGCUGCUCGGACUCUUAUUUGCUUGCUAGAGAUGGAAGCAGAAAACAAUGAGGAAAAAGAAGAAGUAAAAAAGAAGGUGGUGCAGCUGAGUGUCCAAUCGGGAGUGAGCAGUUCUUUCACUGCUUUCAUUGUUGUCAAUACAGACAACAACAAGGAGAUUCAAGGACCUCUUCUGCACCGAGAUAUUCCAAUGGCUGGUCUAAUGAGAUGUGCUGCUACCCCUUGCUGUUAUAGUUCCUCUUUUUCGUCCGAAUUUCCACAUGCUAAGAAGCCACCCAGAGACCCUUUGCUGCAGUUAGUCUCCCUCCAGAAGGCGUCUGGCUGCUGGCUGCUUGAUGCAGCUCUGGCUGCUGCACUGGGAAAGACCAACGAGGAGGUGGAAAAGUCAAAGCCUGAAAAGGCCAGCAGUGAAGUGUGGGCCACCAUUCUGGCUCUGAUCUGGCUUCAUGGUUUCAAGAUGGAUGCAAAGGACGAGUGGGAGCUUCUGGCUGCAAAGGCCGUAUCAUGGCUCAGUGCGCAAAAAGCACCAUCUGUGACCGAGUGUGUGGAAGCCAGAAAUAUAUUGUUGGGUUGCAGUGUGCAAAAAAACUGCCCUUGGCCUCUGAGGUUUUUAUUAAGCUAAUAACGUCUUUACGAUUCAUGCACAGAAGCAGAUUUACUUCAUCCUUCAUCCACAUUAAUCUUUGCAUCAUCCAACUUUAUUAUCUAAUGUGCCUUAUUUUAUGCUGCAUGUGUCCAAAGUCAGCUUUGUAGGAGGACCAGAGAUUAUUGCUUUUGUAUUCUCAUUUUAAUGUUGCUGUUUGCUUGAAAGCAUCAAAUAUUAAACAAAUAAAAACACACAUGAGUUUGGA
Oreochromis niloticus (Nile tilapia) is the source of this 2486-nucleotide long non-coding RNA. RefSeq annotates it as von Willebrand factor A domain-containing protein 5A. The record is from RefSeq and is a predicted model, not a curated record. The transcript has 17 exons. NCBI's taxonomy places the organism in Eukaryota, Metazoa, Chordata, Actinopteri, Cichliformes, Cichlidae.